GAUCCUGGCUCAGGAUGAACGCUAGCUACAGGCUUAACACAUGCAAGUCGAGGGGCAGCAUGAACUUAGCUUGCUAAGUUUGAUGGCGACCGGCGCACGGGUGAGUAACACGUAUCCAACCUGCCGAUGACUCGGGGAUAGCCUUUCGAAAGAAAGAUUAAUACCCGAUGGCAUAGUUCUUCCGCAUGGUGGAACUAUUAAAGAAUUUCGGUUCAUCGAUGGGGAGUGCGUUCCAUUAGG
Molecule: ribosomal RNA, 240 nt
Filed under: uncultured bacterium
Lineage: Bacteria
Description: partial 16S ribosomal RNA
Rfam family: Bacterial small subunit ribosomal RNA
Source: RNAcentral